AGUCACUGACAUUAGAUACCCGCGUAGUCCAGGGUGUAAACGCUGCAGACUUGGUGUUGGAGCCCGUUUGGGGGCAUUCAGUGCCGGAGAGAAGUUGUUAAGUCUGCUACGUUGGGGAGUACGUCCGCAAGGAUAGAAACGUUAAAGGAAUUGGCGGGGGAGCACCGCAACGGGAGGAGCGUGCGGUUUAAUUGGAUUCAACACCGUAAAACUCACCAGGGAAGACUGUUACAUGAAGGCCGAGCUAAAGACUCUGCUAGAUUUUCAG
Molecule: ribosomal RNA, 268 nt
Filed under: uncultured archaeon
Lineage: Archaea
Description: partial 16S ribosomal RNA
Rfam family: Archaeal small subunit ribosomal RNA
Source: RNAcentral